This 353-nucleotide ribosomal RNA is filed under the name uncultured bacterium. RNAcentral's name for it is "bacterial SSU rRNA". It matches the Rfam family "Bacterial small subunit ribosomal RNA", at positions 917 to 1267 of the family's 1533-position model. The record is from RNAcentral.
GGGCCCGCACAAGCGGUGGAGCAUGUGGUUUAAUUCGAUGAUACGCGAGGAACCUUACCAGGGCUUAAAUGUAGUGGGACAGGGUCUAGAGCAUAGACCCUUCUUUCGGACUCAUUACAAGGUGCUGCAUGGUUGUCGUCAGCUCGUGCCGUGAGGUGUCAGGUUAAGUCCUAUAACGAGCGCAACCCCUAUCGUUAGUUGCCAGCGGGUAAUGCCGGGAACUCUAGCGAAACUGCCGGUGCAAACCGUGAGGAAGGUGGGGAUGACGUCAAAUCAUCACGGCCCUUACGUCCUGGCCUACACACGUGCUACAAUGGUCGGUACAGAGAGCAGCCCACUAGCGCGAGUAGGAG